CCUCACUGCAGCUCUGUCUCAUCUCUGUUUCCCGAUACAACAUCUGGUGACCCCGACGUGAUCCAGACACAGGACCCCCGACUCAUCGGCUGGCUUAGCCUUGGUGCACCACAGCGCAACGCGCUCCCUCAUUGCUGCAGUAUUACAACACAUCCGAACCCACAAACCGACCCUUUUUAUCUAGAGCCCAGCGCCAUUAUAGACAGACCGAGCCCCUUCCGGCGCCAAAGGUGAUAUAUCGCAAGUUGCCAGGACCAGAGUGGAGCCUGCCUGUGCCACUCAUCACCUGGGGCCGGGGCUACGCAGCAGUGUCAACUGAAACCGGCCCUGUGUGGGUUCCCGCUCGCUUUGUGAAGCCGUGGAGAGAUGGCCUGGCAU
Long non-coding RNA from Mauremys mutica (yellowpond turtle), 378 nucleotides. RefSeq lists it as uncharacterized. The transcript is spliced from 3 exons. NCBI's taxonomy places the organism in Eukaryota, Metazoa, Chordata, Testudines, Geoemydidae. The record is from RefSeq and is a predicted model, not a curated record.